Molecule: long non-coding RNA, 414 nt
Filed under: Bos taurus (domestic cattle)
Lineage: Eukaryota; Metazoa; Chordata; Mammalia; Artiodactyla; Bovidae
Description: long non-coding RNA NONBTAT004824
Source: RNAcentral
GGUCCAAUCAAGAGUGAUUAUGACUCCAGAUUGUGACUUAAAAAUACAGAAAACUUGUUAUCCAAAUAAAUAGUAUUAUACAUCCUUUGAUAAAGAUCAUUUAUCAGUUAUUAUGAACAAUUCUAUAUAUUUGAUGCAUUUUGUUCAGAAGUUGCAUCCAAAUAUAAUGCCAUACAUUUUGUAAAAUACUUAUGUAUCCACCCAAAAAAUAUGGGAUAAAAGAAACGUUAACAUUUAAAACAACUUUCUGGCAUAAUACUUCUCAUGCGAAGAAGAAAUAGUAGGUGUCUAUUUUACCAUCCUUGAUGGAAGAUUAAUAUCUAGAAAUCAAGAACAAGCCACAUUUUAGUCCAAAACAGAGAUGCAGAGGUGAAGAAAAUGCCCCUGGGUCCUCGAUGGACCCCAGUGAGACUC